AGAACGAACGCUGGCGGCGUGGAUAAGACAUGCAAGUCGAACGAGACUUUUCGUUGUAGCAAUACGAUGGAAAGUUUAGUGGCGAACGGGUGCUUAACACGUGGGCAACCUGCCGAGAAGUGGGGGAUAGCUCGCCGAAAGGCGAAUUAAUACCGCAUGUGAUUAGAGAGGACAUCCUUUCGAAAUUAAAGUCGGGGCAACCUGACGCUUUUUGUGGGGCCCGCGGCCUAUCAGCUAGUUGGUGAGGUAACGGCUCACCAAGGCUUUGACGGGUAGCUGGUCUGAGAGGACGGCCAGCCACACUGGGACUGAGACACGGCCCAGACACCUACGGGUGGCAGCAGUCGAGAAUUUUUGACAAUGGGGAAACCCUGAUCGAGCGACGCCGCGUGGAGGAUGAAGGUCUUCGGGUUGUAAACCUCUUUCAGCAGGGACGAAGCGAGAGUGACGGUACCUGCAGAAGAAGCGCCGGCCAACUACGUGCCAGCAGCCGC
This 494-nucleotide ribosomal RNA is filed under the name uncultured bacterium. RNAcentral describes it as "SSU rRNA". It matches the Rfam family "Bacterial small subunit ribosomal RNA", at positions 26 to 518 of the family's 1533-position model. The record is from RNAcentral.